CAGUAGCCGCGGUAACACGGAGGGAGCUAGCGUCGUUCGGAAUUACUGGGCGUAAAGCGCACGUAGGCGGCUUUGUAAGUUAGAGGUGAAAGCCUGGAGCUCAACUCCAGAACUGCCUUUAAGACUGCAUCGCUUGAAUCCGGGAGAGGUGAGUGGAAUUCCGAGUGCAGAGGUGAAAUUCGUAGAUAUUCGGAAGAACACCAGUGGCGAAGGCGGCUCACUGGACUGGUAUUGACGCUGAGGUGCGAAAGCGUGGGGAGCGAACAGGAUUAGAUACCCCAGUAGUCCCUGUCUCUUAUAC
RNAcentral lists this ribosomal RNA (301 nucleotides) under uncultured bacterium. RNAcentral's name for it is "partial 16S ribosomal RNA". It matches the Rfam family "Bacterial small subunit ribosomal RNA", at positions 509 to 807 of the family's 1533-position model. The record is from RNAcentral.